Molecule: ribosomal RNA, 253 nt
Filed under: uncultured bacterium
Lineage: Bacteria
Description: partial 16S ribosomal RNA
Rfam family: Bacterial small subunit ribosomal RNA
Source: RNAcentral
UACGUAGGGUGCGAGUGUUAAUCGGAAUUACUGGGCGUAAAGCGUGCGCAGGCGGCGCGUUAAGACAGGUGUGAAAGCCCCGAGCUUAACUUGGGAAUUGCGCUUGUGACUGGCGUGCUGGAGUGUGGCAGAGGGAGGUGGAAUUCCACGUGUAGCAGUGAAAUGCGUAGAUAUCUGGAGGAACACCGGUGGCGAAGGCGGCAUCCUGGACCAACACUGACGCUGAGGAGCGAAAGCCAGGGGAGCAAACGGG